Molecule: ribosomal RNA, 482 nt
Filed under: Actinomyces sp. 'ARUP UnID 68'
Lineage: Bacteria; Bacillati; Actinomycetota; Actinomycetes; Actinomycetales; Actinomycetaceae
Also listed under: 2 other names
Description: bacterial SSU rRNA
Rfam family: Bacterial small subunit ribosomal RNA
Source: RNAcentral
GGACGAACGCUGGCGGCGUGCUUAACACAUGCAAGUCGAACGCUGAAGCCCAGCUUGCUGGGUGGAUGAGUGGCGAACGGGUGAGUAACACGUGAGUAACCUGCCCCCUUCUUUGGGAUAACGCCCGGAAACGGGUGCUAAUACUGGAUAUUCACUGGCCUUCGCAUGGGGGUUGGUGGAAAGGUUUUUUCUGGUGGGGGAUGGGCUCGCGGCCUAUCAGCUUGUUGGUGGGGUGAUGGCCUACCAAGGCUUUGACGGGUAGCCGGCCUGAGAGGGUGACCGGUCACAUUGGGACUGAGAUACGGCCCAGACUCCUACGGGAGGCAGCAGUGGGGAAUAUUGCACAAUGGGCGAAAGCCUGAUGCAGCGACGCCGCGUGAGGGAUGACGGCCUUCGGGUUGUAAACCUCUUUCGCUCAUGGUCAAGCCGCAGCUUUGGGUUGUGGUGAGGGUAGUGGGUAAAGAAGCGCCGGCUAACUACGU